AUUGAACGCUGGCGGCAGGCUUAACACAUGCAAGUCGAGCGGAGUGAUGGUGCUUGCACUAUCACUUAGCGGCGGACGGGUGAGUAAUGCUUAGGAAUCUGCCUAUUAGUGGGGGACAACACCUCGAAAGGGAUGCUAAUACCGCAUACGUCCUACGGGAGAAAGCAGGGGAUCACUUGUGACCUUGCGCUAAUAGAUGAGCCUAAGUCGGAUUAGCUAGUUGGUGGGGUAAAGGCCUACCAAGGCGACGAUCUGUAGCGGGUCUGAGAGGAUGAUCCGCCACACGGGGACGGAGACACGGCCCAGACUCCUACGGGAGGCAGCAGUGGGGAAUAUUGGACAAUGGGGGGAACCCUGAUCCAGCCAUGCCGCGUGUGUGAAGAAGGCCUUAUGGUUGUAAAGCACUUUAAGCGAGGAGGAGGCUCUUUUGGUUAAUACCCAAGAUGAGUGGACGUUACUCGCAGAAUAAGCACCGGCUAACUCUGUGCCAGCAGCCGCCGUAA
This 503-nucleotide ribosomal RNA is filed under the name uncultured bacterium. RNAcentral's name for it is "partial 16S ribosomal RNA". It matches the Rfam family "Bacterial small subunit ribosomal RNA", at positions 30 to 523 of the family's 1533-position model. The record is from RNAcentral.